UGCCAUGCUAGUCAUUGCCCACCAAGAGGGGU
Molecule: non-coding RNA, 32 nt
Filed under: Homo sapiens (human)
Lineage: Eukaryota; Metazoa; Chordata; Mammalia; Primates; Hominidae
Source: RNAcentral